GGAGGGUGCGAACGUUAAUCGGAAUCACUGGGCGUAAAGCGCGCGUAGGCGGUCUGUUAAGUGGGAUGUGAAAUCCCCGGGCUUAACCUGGGAAUUGCAUUUCAAACUGGCCGACUAGAGUACGGUAGAGGGAGGUAGAAUUUCCUGUGUAGCGGUGAAAUGCGUAGAUAUAGGAAGGAAUACCAGUGGCGAAGGCGGCCUCCUGGAUCGAUACUGACGCUGAGGCGCGAAAGCGUGGGGAGCAAACAGGAUUAGAUACCCUGGUAGUCCACGCCGUAAACGAUGAGAACUAGCCGUUGGACCCCUUGAGGGUUUAGUGGCGUAGCUAACGCGAUAAGUUCUCCGCCUGGGGAGUACGGCCGCAAGGCUA
This 370-nucleotide ribosomal RNA is filed under the name uncultured bacterium. RNAcentral describes it as "bacterial SSU rRNA". It matches the Rfam family "Bacterial small subunit ribosomal RNA", at positions 527 to 896 of the family's 1533-position model. The record is from RNAcentral.